GGGCAUCGGUUUCUCCCAGCAAAGCUUGGAGGGUUUAGCUGCGCGGAGAGCUCAGCGAGCUCUUCUGUGUCUGUUUGGGGCGUGUGGGCUCCGGGAGCGUGAGGACCGGGAAGCUAGGAGGCUCCUUCCCUUCUGGCGGCUCCCUCACUGAGACCGGGCGGUUUGGUUGCGGGGGAAGUGGAGACGAGCCGCCCUUGACCUUUGACUGCAAGAACUCGCCUUGAGCAGGAUAGAGGCACGUGGACGGUGACCCUCGGGAUGCAAUAAAUGCUGAGACAGAUCAGCAAACAUUGAGUGGGCCAGACACUGUUCUGAAAAAUACGCAGUCGACUUUUGAACAGCACAGGCUUGAACUGCAUGCGGCCACUAAUACUCGGACUUUCUUCUGCCUUUGCCACCCCUAAGACAGCAAGACCCACCCCUCCUGCUCCUCAGCCUACUCGAUGUGAUGAUGGCCUGCCGGAGAUCAGAGGCCCAGAUUAUUGAAGGAGACGCCUAUGAGAUGCCCAA
This 510-nucleotide long non-coding RNA is filed under the name Pan troglodytes (chimpanzee). Its description in RNAcentral is "long non-coding RNA NONPTRT012377". Lineage: Eukaryota; Metazoa; Chordata; Mammalia; Primates; Hominidae. The record is from RNAcentral.